This 601-nucleotide long non-coding RNA is filed under the name Chrysolophus pictus (golden pheasant). RNAcentral describes it as "lncRNA (ENSCPIG00010009070.1)". Lineage: Eukaryota; Metazoa; Chordata; Aves; Galliformes; Phasianidae. The record is from RNAcentral.
AUGGAGAAAAUAGGUCAGUCCGGUCGGGGUGCAAUGAGUCAGCCAUUAAAGGCAGAGCUGUUCCCAGCUCCCAGCUCAGUGUUACACGUUAUCGACGAGAUUAAGGUCAGCGUGGCUUCUCCAAGCUCCUCGUGCUGCCAGGAGGUGAGGAUUCUGCUCACGAAGCAAAGGUCUUUGGAAACCCAGAAAGCACACCAAGGACUGGAAGAACUCAUUGAUAGCAGACCUGCAGUGAAGAACUUGGGGAUCCUGGUGGAUGAAAAGGUGGACGUGAGCCUGCAGUGUGCUCUUGCAGCCUGGAGGGCCAAUAUUAUCCUGGGCUGCAUCAACAGAGAGGUGGCAGCAGGCAGGGUGGGUUGUUACACACCUCAGGUCCCAGGAGUCAGACCGGCUCCUCAUCCGGUGUCACUUAGAAGCUUGACUCCUUUGUUGCUUUGUUGACUUUAGUUUUCAUACCUGCAGGAAGCUGACACAACCGUUGGAUUUAGCACAACAAAAAAAGGUGGGGCGAGUACGUGGCACUGCUUAUUGAUUGAUCUUGAGCUGUUUUACUGUGACAUAAUACCAGUAGAGAAGCAGAGAAAUCGUGCUGCAGUCAGUG